AUACCUUUAUUGAUCUUUUGGCUAAAAUAAGGUGUAAUAUUUGUUUUUAUUAGUUUAAUAUCUGAUAUGUGAAUAAUAUAUUCACUCUUAUAUAAAAUUUAUUUUUUUUUAUGAAAAUUAGAUAUAAUUGUGUGCCGUCGUAUCCGGAUGAUAUUGAGAAAUGCUGCAUAACAUUAGAAAAGUUGUUGUGACAGCUAUGCUAUA
Molecule: non-coding RNA, 204 nt
Organism: Zea mays
Lineage: Eukaryota; Viridiplantae; Streptophyta; Magnoliopsida; Poales; Poaceae
Source: Rfam